This 264-nucleotide ribosomal RNA is filed under the name uncultured bacterium. RNAcentral describes it as "partial 16S ribosomal RNA". It matches the Rfam family "Bacterial small subunit ribosomal RNA", at positions 57 to 305 of the family's 1533-position model. The record is from RNAcentral.
GCAAGUCGUACGUGAAAGAUUCCUUCGGGAAGCAAGUAAAGUGGCGCACGGGUGAGUAACACGUGGAUAAUAUACCCAGUAAUCCGGGAUAACAUCUCGAAAGAGAUGCUAAUACCUGAUAAGCCCACGAUCUCUUCGGAGAACGAGGGAAAAGGUGGGGAGCUUCAGGCCUGUCGUUGCUGGAUGAGUCUGCGGCCCAUUAGCUAGUUGGUAGGGUAAUGGCCUACCAAGGCUACGAUGGGUAGCUGGUCUGAGAGGAUGAUC